AUUGAACGCUGGCGGCAGGCCUAACACAUGCAAGUCGAACGAGUGGCGGACGGGUGAGGAAUGUCUGGGAAACUGCCUGAUGGAGGGGGAUAACUACUGGAAACGGUAGCUAAUACCGCAUACCAUCGGAUGUGCCCAGAUGGGAUUAGCUUGUAGGUUAGGUAACGGCUCACCUAGGCGACGAUCCCUAGCUGCUCAGAGAGGAUGACAAGCAACACUGGUACUGCGUCAAGGUCCAGACUCCUACGGGAGGCAGCAGUGGGUAAUAUUGCACAAGGUGUGCAAGCCUGAAGCAGCCAUUCCGCGUGAGUGAAGAAGGCCUUCUGGUUGUAAAGUUCUUUCAGCGGGGCGGCGUUACCCGCAGACGAAGCACCGGCUAACUCCGUGCCAGCCGCCGCGGUAAUUC
Molecule: ribosomal RNA, 406 nt
Filed under: uncultured bacterium
Lineage: Bacteria
Description: partial 16S ribosomal RNA
Rfam family: Bacterial small subunit ribosomal RNA
Source: RNAcentral